Molecule: ribosomal RNA, 738 nt
Filed under: Lactiplantibacillus plantarum
Lineage: Bacteria; Bacillati; Bacillota; Bacilli; Lactobacillales; Lactobacillaceae
Description: bacterial SSU rRNA
Rfam family: Bacterial small subunit ribosomal RNA
Source: RNAcentral
ACAGAUGCUAAUACCGCAUAACAACUUGGACCGCAUGGUCCGAGCUUGAAAGAUGGCUUCGGCUAUCACUUUUGGAUGGUCCCGCGGCUAUUAGCUAGAUGGUGGGGUAACGGCUCACCAUGGCAAUGAUACGUAGCCGACCUGAGAGGGUAAUCGGCCACAUGGGACUGAGACACGGCCCAAACUCCUACGGGAGGCAGCAGUAGGGAAUCUUCCACAAUGGACGAAAGUCUGAUGGAGCAACGCCGCGUGAGUGAAGAAGGGUUUCGGCUCGUAAAACUCUGUUGUUAAAGAAGAACAUAUCUGAGAGUAACUGUUCAGGUAUUGACGGUAUUUAACCAGAAAGCCACGGCUAACUACGUGCCAGCAGCCGCGGUAAUACGUAGGUGGCAAGCGUUGUCCGGAUUUAUUGGGCGUAAAGCGAGCGCAGGCGGUUUUUUAAGUCUGAUGUGAAAGCCUUCGGCUCAACCGAAGAAGUGCAUCGGAAACUGGGAAACUUGAGUGCAGAAGAGGACAGUGGAACUCCAUGUGUAGCGGUGAAAUGCGUAGAUAUAUGGAAGAACACCAGUGGCGAAGGCGGCUGUCUGGUCUGUAACUGACGCUGAGGCUCGAAAGUAUGGGUAGCAAACAGGAUUAGAUACCCUGGUAGUCCAUACCGUAAACGAUGAAUGCUAAGUGUUGGAGGGUUUCCGCCCUUCAGUGCUGCAGCUAACGCAUUAAGCAUUCCGCCUGGGGAGU